CAUCAAUAUAGAGCAGUAAGUUAAUAAAAGGACAUUUUGCACCUUAAAGCCUGUAUAGUGGCAACAGAAUAACAAAUCCCUUUGAAAAUACAAUACCUGCAUCGUCCUGGCUGCUUCAAACCACAGGUCAUAUAUUUGUAUGGAACCCUGUUAAUAUUUCGUUUAAAUGUAUAUACCAUAACAUAGAUUGUAGUGGUUUUUCUUACCACAAGGUGUGAACAGUAUACUCACUCAUGGUAACUCAGUCCUUUGUUAUACGUAACAUCUACUUAUUUGCGAUUACAAAUGAUAUGCACAGAGCUUACAGUCAUAAA
Long non-coding RNA from Cynoglossus semilaevis (tongue sole), 314 nucleotides. RefSeq lists it as uncharacterized. The record is from RefSeq and is a predicted model, not a curated record. Lineage: Eukaryota; Metazoa; Chordata; Actinopteri; Pleuronectiformes; Cynoglossidae. The transcript is spliced from 2 exons.